CAGUAGCCGCGGGAAUACGUAGGGUGCGAGCGUUACUCGGAAUUACUGGGCGUAAAGCGUGCGUAGGUGGUGGUUUAAGUCCGUUGUGAAAGCCCUGGGCUCAACCUGGGAAUUGCAGUGGAUACUGGGUCACUAGAGUGUGGUAGAGGAUAGUGGAAUUUCCGGUGUAGCAGUGAAAUGCGUAAAGAUCGGAAGGAACAUCUGUGGCGAAGGCGACUAUCUGGGCCAACACUGACACUGAGGCACGAAAGCGUGGGGAGCAAACAGGAUUAGAUACCCCUGUAGUCCCUGUCUCUUAUAC
This 301-nucleotide ribosomal RNA is filed under the name uncultured bacterium. Its description in RNAcentral is "partial 16S ribosomal RNA". It matches the Rfam family "Bacterial small subunit ribosomal RNA", at positions 509 to 807 of the family's 1533-position model. The record is from RNAcentral.